This 1962-nucleotide long non-coding RNA is filed under the name Anas platyrhynchos platyrhynchos (common mallard). RNAcentral describes it as "lncRNA (ENSAPLG00000020852.1)". The record is from RNAcentral. Lineage: Eukaryota; Metazoa; Chordata; Aves; Anseriformes; Anatidae.
GGAAAACCUGCUGAUCAGAAUGAAGGUUACUUAUAUUACAAUAAACAUGUGUUGGUCUUGGCUAAUAUUGGUUUAAGUCACAGUCUCAUUUGAACUCAAAGUGCCUUUUGCUUUGGCUGCUCAAAGGACACAAUUGUCAUCAAGGAAUUGAAAUCUCUUCUGUUCCCCCAGCUGGAAGAAAAGAGAUUGGAGGUGGCAGUGGAAGGGACAGGGCACAAGAAAGAAAAGGAAAGGAACGCGGACGCUCGCACACAACUUCUUACAAUGGCUCUAGCAUGCCCUUCCAUUGGUUUCAAAGGCAGGGUUGCAGGGAAGAUGGAAGCCAAGACCUCUGUGCAGAAGAAGCAGAGCUUUCCCCAAACUGGGAUGGCAAGAGUUGAAAGAAAGUUUAGCCUUGAGAGCAGCUGCCAAAAUCAAAACCUUGUUCAAAGUUUAUUUGAUGUGAAUCGCAGGAGGUGUGACUACUGGGAUUUGCAUCCAAGCAGGAACCCUGCAGAAUUCUUCAAAUCCUGGUGACAAAGAAAACAAACUGAACGAACAGCACAUGGCCUUUAAAGAUGUCCUCGUCUGGUGUUCCUGGUGGAUUUGAGAUGAUAAAGGACUGAAUAUUUUCCAGCACGGCACCUACAAGAAAACCUGAGCGAGAGCACCAGACAAAGCCGUUUGACACAGCCCACCCCAGGAUGACUCAGGAAAUCCCUAAUCCAAAGCCUGGAGAACGCUCUGGGAUGCUCAGCACAGCCAAGGGGCAAGAAGUCCCUGUCUGCCUCCUGCUUUCCUUGAUGCUGGAGAGGAGAGGAGCUGUGGUGGGUAGGCUGCUGUGGCUGUACCAUCAUGGGUGGGAAAGCAGAACCACCACCAGCAUGUGGGCAGGGGUGCUCCUGGCACUUGGGGAGGCAUGGCACAACAGUGGGCGGGGGGCUGGGGAGAAGCAAACAUUGUCUAUUGCCUUGAUCCUUUGACAAAGUAUAAGAUGGGGGCCAUUAAAGCUAACACAUAUUUUAUGUGAGCAAAUUCAACAGAAAGAGGGGGGAAAAAAAAGAAAAGGAAAAAAAAAAGAAAGGGGGUAGGGUGAACAUGAGCUAAAUUUGAGCAAAUAUUUUGUUUCUAAAAAUCCCAGUGAAAGUCUACAAAACUGCAUCGCUUCCUCAGCUCUGUGAGUCUUGUGUUCUUCAGCUGCCUGGUGAAGUGCCAGCUAAUGGGGCCGUUAGAAAUGCCUUCUCCUUUCUAGGAACACAAAAAGAAGCGUGUCUGUAAUGAUACGUCUAUUUAAAAAUACACCCACUCCUGCCAGUCCCUCAAUUUGAAUAUUUCGAACUUGCAGAUAAGGCGGGCAGCAGGACUGCAGGGAGCGGGCUGCAGGAAUGCGAGCAGUGGCUCACCCUGCCCCAGGGCAGGCAGAGCACUACUGUACACCCACACCGCUGGGUACCUUGGGCAUUACAGUACCCACAGUGGUUGUGAGUUUGCUUAGGAAGGCUUGACUAGAAAACUGGCCUUUCAAAAAGAAAAACAAGCUUCUGAAAUGUGAUUGACAUCACAGAAGUGUUCUAUUUCUUCUGACAUUCCCCGUGAUUUUAAACCAGUAUUUCUGCACAGAGGAGGAUGAAAAUGUUGGGAGAAAGCAUUGUGCAAAGCAGACAACAGUAGCAAUAAUGAUCUGGCAGAAGGGGAACAUUUUCCCCAUCUUUAAAUUACUUUCCUUCUCUGAUCAAAGUACAAGAAUUGUGAUGGAUCAAGACUAUUGCCACUGUGAUAUCUGGGCAGGAUGGCUCAGCAUGCUGCUACUGUGCUGAGUUUGAUAGUUUAGAUGCUGAAAACCCCAUAAAGAAGAGCCCUGCUUAUGAGCAAAUGACAGUAAAAAUCUGUUUACACAAAUCUGACGUUAUUUAAUGGUGCAAAGUUUAAACCUACCCUGACAGUUUUUUUAAGGGCAAUGAUGUGGUUUCUCCAGCAUUCACG